CUUGCUGCUUACAAUUAUCUCUAUUUAUAAUGAACUUGGCCCAGUAGUUUCAGAGGAGAAGAUUUUUGUAAAAGAUAACUAAGAUUUACGAAAAAUGGUUCAAAAUUGACUAUAAAGAGCAAUAACUCCUAAAGGGGUCAACUGACCAUUUCAGUAAUGUUGACUUAUUUGUAAAUCUUACUUUGCUGAACAUUAUUGCUGUUUACAGUAAAUCU
Molecule: long non-coding RNA, 215 nt
Filed under: Mytilus galloprovincialis (Mediterranean mussel)
Lineage: Eukaryota; Metazoa; Mollusca; Bivalvia; Mytilida; Mytilidae
Source: RNAcentral